GGAUAACAGUUAGAAAUGACUGCUAAUACCGCAUAAGCGCACAGGACCGCAUGGUCCGGUGUGAAAAACUCCGGUGGUAUGAGAUGGACCCGCGUCUGAUUAGCUGGUUGGUGAGGUAACGGCCCACCAAGGCGACGAUCAGUAGCCGGCCUGAGAGGGUGAACGGCCACAUUGGGACUGAGACACGGCCCAAACUCCUACGGGAGGCAGCAGUGGGGAAUAUUGCACAAUGGGGGAAACCCUGAUGCAGCGACGCCGCGUGAAGGAAGAAGUAUUUCGGUAUGUAAACUUCUAUCAGCAGGGAAGAAAAUGACGGUACCUGACUAAGAAGCCCCGGCUAACUACGUGCCAGCAGCCGCGGUAAUACGUAGGGGGCAAGCGUUAUCCGGAUUUACUGGGUGUAAAGGGAGCGUAGGCGGUUUAGCAAGUCAGAAGUGAAAGCCCGGGGCUCAACUCCGGGACUGCUUUUGAAACUGUUGAACUAGAUUGCAGGAGAGGUAAGUGGAAUUCCUAGUGUAGCGGUGAAAUGCGUAGAUAUUAGGAGGAACACCAGUGGCGAAGGCGGCUUACUGGACUGUAAAUGACGCUGAGGCUCGAAAGCGUGGGGAGCAAACAGGAUUAGAUACCCUGGUAGUCCACGCCGUAAACG
This 649-nucleotide ribosomal RNA is filed under the name uncultured bacterium. RNAcentral describes it as "bacterial SSU rRNA". It matches the Rfam family "Bacterial small subunit ribosomal RNA", at positions 141 to 808 of the family's 1533-position model. The record is from RNAcentral.